GACGAACGCUGGCGGCGUGCUUAACACAUGCAAGUCGAACGGAAAGGCCCUGCUUUUGUGGGGUGCUCGAGUGGCGAACGGGUGAGUAACACGUGAGUAACCUGCCCUUGACUUUGGGAUAACUUCAGGAAACUGGGGCUAAUACCGGAUAGGAGCUCCUGCUGCAUGGAGGGGGUUGGAAAGUUUCGGCGGUUGGGGAUGGACUCGCGGCUUAUCAGCUUGUUGGUGGGGUAGUGGCUUACCAAGGCUUUGACGGGUAGCCGGCCUGAGAGGGUGACCGGCCACAUUGGGACUGAGAUACGGCCCAGACUCCUACGGGAGGCAGCAGUGGGGAGUAUUGCACAGUGGGCGGAAGCCUGAUGCAGCAACGCCGCGUGCGGGAUGACGGCCUUCGGGUUGUAAACCGCUUUCGCCUGUGACGAAGCGUGAGUGACGGUAAUGGGUAAAGAAGCACCGGCUAACUACGUG
RNAcentral lists this ribosomal RNA (468 nucleotides) under uncultured bacterium. RNAcentral's name for it is "partial 16S ribosomal RNA". It matches the Rfam family "Bacterial small subunit ribosomal RNA", at positions 28 to 507 of the family's 1533-position model. The record is from RNAcentral.